CCUACGGGUGGCAGCAGGGAGGAAUAGUGGUCAAUGGGCGCGAGCCGGAACCAGCCAAGUAGCGUGAAGGAUGAAGGCCCGACGGGGGGUAAACUUCUGUUAUAAAGGAAUAAAGUGAGGCACGUGUGCCGUUUUGUAUGUACGUUAUGAAUAAGCAUCGGCUAACUCCGUGCCAGCAGCCGCGGUAAUACGGAGGAUGCGAGCGGUAUCCGGAUUUAUUGGGUGGAAAGGGUGCGUCGGCGGAAUCUCAAGUCAGCGGUAAAACUUCGGGGCUCAACCCCGGCUUGCCGUUGAAACUGGUGUUCUUGAGUGGGCGAGAAGUAUGCGGAAUGCGUUGUGUAGCGGUUAAAUGCAUAGCUAUCACGCCGAACUCCGAUUGCGAAGGCAGCAUACCGGAGCCCAACUGACGCUGAGGCACGAAAGCGUGGGUAUCGAACAGGAUUAGCUACCCCAGUAGUC
RNAcentral lists this ribosomal RNA (459 nucleotides) under uncultured bacterium. Its description in RNAcentral is "partial 16S ribosomal RNA". It matches the Rfam family "Bacterial small subunit ribosomal RNA", at positions 338 to 795 of the family's 1533-position model. The record is from RNAcentral.